UGGCCAGUAGAUUGCACUGAUGGAGUGC
This 28-nucleotide non-coding RNA is filed under the name Homo sapiens (human). Lineage: Eukaryota; Metazoa; Chordata; Mammalia; Primates; Hominidae. The record is from RNAcentral.